Molecule: ribosomal RNA, 717 nt
Filed under: Golovinomyces orontii
Lineage: Eukaryota; Fungi; Ascomycota; Leotiomycetes; Helotiales; Erysiphaceae
Description: eukaryotic LSU rRNA
Rfam family: Eukaryotic large subunit ribosomal RNA
Source: RNAcentral
AGUAACGGCGAGUGAAGCGGUAACAGCUCAAAUUUGAAAUCUGGCUCCUGCGGAGUCCGAGUUGUAAUUUGUAGAAGAUGCUUUGGGAGGUAGGCUCGGCCUAAGUUCCUUGGAACAGGACAUCAGAGAGGGUGAGAAUCCCGUAUGUGGCCGUGGCCUACGCCCGUGUAAAGCUCUUUCGACGAGUCGAGUUGUUUGGGAAUGCAGCUCAAAAUGGGUGGUAAAUUUCAUCUAAAGCUAAAUAUUGGCCAGAGACCGAUAGCGCACAAGUAGAGUGAUCGAAAGAUGAAAAGCACUUUGGAAAGAGAGUUAAACAGUACGUGAAAUUGUUGAAAGGGAAGCGCUUGCACCCAGACUUGGGCGUCGUCGAUCAUCCGAGGUUCUCCUCGGUGCACUCGGCGAGGCACAGGCCAGCAUCGGUUUGGAUGGUUGGAGAAAGGCUCUAGGAACGUAGCUCUCUUCGGGGAGUGUUAUAGCCUAGGGCGUAAUGCAGCCCAUCUGGACCGAGGACCGCGCCUUCGGGCUAGGAUGCUGGCGUAAUGGUUGCAAGCGACCCGUCUUGAAACACGGACCAAGGAGUCUAACAUCUAUGCGAGUGUUUGGGCGUUAAACCCAUACGCGGAAUGAAAGUGAACGUAGGUGAGAACCCGUCUGGGUGCAUCAUCGACCGAUCCUGAUGUCUUCGGAUGGAUUUGAGUAAGAGCAUAGCUGUUGGGA